Molecule: transfer RNA, 72 nt
Filed under: Acropoma japonicum
Lineage: Eukaryota; Metazoa; Chordata; Actinopteri; Acropomatiformes; Acropomatidae
Description: tRNA-Trp
Rfam family: tRNA
About the family: Transfer RNA (tRNA) molecules are approximately 80 nucleotides in length.
Source: RNAcentral
AGAGACUUAGGCUAACUGCAAGACCACGGGCCUUCAAAGCCCUAAGUGGGAGUUAAAAUCUUCCAGUCUCUG